This 253-nucleotide ribosomal RNA is filed under the name uncultured bacterium. Its description in RNAcentral is "partial 16S ribosomal RNA". It matches the Rfam family "Bacterial small subunit ribosomal RNA", at positions 524 to 776 of the family's 1533-position model. The record is from RNAcentral.
UACGGAGGGGGCGAGCGUUGUCCGAAGUUACUGGGCGUAAAGCGCGCGUAGGCGGGUUGGUAAGUCCGCUGUGAAAGCCCGGAGCUCAACUCCGGAGGGUCGGUGGAUACUGCCAGUCUUGAAGGUGCUAGGGGGAGAUGGAAUUACCGGUGUAGCGGUGAAAUGCGUAGAUAUCGGUAGGAACACCAGUGGCGAAGGCGGUCUCCUGGGGCAUUCUUGACGCUGAUGCGCGAAAGCUAGGGUAGCAAACGGG